GCCCCCCCCCCCCCCCCACCCCCCCCUCUGCUUUCGGCCGAAGGAUUCGUCGUCCCUGUCAACCUUGCCCACGCGGAGAUGGCGCUUCACGCCGGCAUGCAGGGGCCUGACCAAGGUAGCUUUUGAGCAAAUGCUGAAGUCAUUAACCUGACAUUGUUCCAUUGAAUUCUGAAAUGUCACGAAUAUCUUAAAUUAGUGCAGAGGUACUAAGGUUAUUUGUUUAGUUCUUAUGUGGUUAUAAUGCACUUUUUUAAAAAUCUCUACAUGCUCGACGUCUGGAGGAUCUGAGUCCCCCCUCGCAAUUUUCAGGCGUAUGACGACCUGGACAUAAGGAAGCGCUUGAUGGCUACCUAGGGAAGUCAUCGACGUCCACAUCUAGCGCCGUAAGCAUGAAAUGGACCUCUCCAUGAAGCACCAGUACGUCCCCUAGGACCUCCAGGAAGUUGUAAAAGCUAAGGUGAAAAGCAAUAUCAAUAAGCAUGUGCAACCUGGGAGGGAAGCACAAACCACCUUGAGAAAAGAGAGUGUUCACCAUGCAAGGCAGCCAAUGCCUGGUGAGGAACAGGAGGACAUUGUCAUGACUAGCACCCAGCUGAGCAUCUUAAUAUAAGCAUCUCAUGUCCAAUAACUGGGAAGCCAGUUAUUGAGUUGGCAGAUCCAUUUCGUUGGUUAUAUAAUUUUAUUUGUAUCCAUUUGAACAUUCUACAAUCAAAAGUUGAGUGACAUACUAUUCAGCCUGAUAAAAAUUGAUUGAUGCGCACCCCAAAUGCCAUUGCCCUCCUGGUGAAUUCGAGUCAUUUUCCCAGUAACUGAAUGCUUGUAGGAGGUCAAACACCCCUUCUGCUCCGAACGACUGUUGUGAUGCAUGUCAUAGUGGCAUGAAGUCAAUUUUGUGCACUUUUCUGAUUGACUAGGAUCAUGUCAAGGUAAUCAAAGAUAGGAGGGAGUACAUUUUUUAUUAAUUGUUAACAUGUGUUCUUCCUAUCACUGCAGCUAUGAUGACGGUGAGCCAACUGACAAUACGACGAUGUUUUAUAUAUAAAUGGUUCUAAGAGGGGAAUGAGAGAGGUGAGUGGUUGUUGGAUUUGGGGUGUUUGGCCUUGGAAAUAGACAGUGCGAACAAGGUUUGUUCCUCUUUUGUCACUUUGUUUCCACCAAAGGUUGUAAAGAUGGUUGAUGAGCUCCUUGCAGGAACUAGAAAACUAAAUUAGAGUGGCACUAAAUUUCUUUUAGAAUGCAUAUUAAGUGUUGUGCCUUAUCUCAUUUACAUAUGUGCACACUCAUUUGCAUUGUGUUUACAUUGCAUUUUUUAUUAGUGUUAUUUGGCAAUAAUGCUCAAAUGCUUAAAUCAGUUGACUGGUAUCUGCCUGAAUCAAACUUUCAAACUUUAUAUAAAUAAGCCAAACCUAUCCUUAUAUUUUCAGAAAGGACUGAGCAACGACUGUGAACAACAUCAAUUUUUCAGCGAUUCUGCACCAUGUAUCCUUAUUAUGCUAUUCUGGAUCAUCCUUGUCGUAAUCACCAAGAGGUUCGUGCUUAUUAAGAUUGAUUGAUUUUGUGCUGGGCAGGAAGGCAUCCCGAAGGGGGUCGAGCUGCGGUGGCACUGCGAUGAGAUGGUCAGCAAGCUCGACCUCUUCUCCCCAACAAGAACUGAAAUUUCGAUUUGCAGUUUUUAUGAGCUGAAGAAUGGACGCAGAUAAGAAAAAAAUGAUUUAAGCCAUUAUUUCUUACUGACUUCAAUCCAAAAAAGUUUUGUUUUGAUAAAAAGAAAGUCAGCACUGCAUACAAAUUAGUACAUGUUUGGAAACAACUAAUUUGUGUUGAUUUCUAUCAGACAUUGACAUUACAGGUGCACUGGAUAUAUUUGAAAGAUAAGUCACCGUUGUUUAUCCAUGCUGCUACCUUGGCCUUCUGUGGUCUGAGCCCCUUCGCACAUUUAUUCCAGGGGUAUUCCUUUUUACUGUGCAACUUUCUUUGUUACAUGAUAGAUUAAAUCUCUUUAUGUCACAGACAUGCCAGUAAUUCAGCAAACCUUCAUGAAAUGGCUUACCUUUUGAUGGUAACAAGGAGUAUCCAGAGCCGAGUCUCUGCAAAGAAUUAGAGUUCUGUUUGGAUAGAAAAGCGAUAAUACUGCUUAUCUUUUGCUAAUAGUAAAGUGAUGAUAUGCUUCCUUCUGUCAGGUUAACUCUUCCGUCCAUUAGUAAUGGUGUUGUCCACUUGUUAGGUUUAAUUUUUGCAAAUGGAGCCCUCCUACAUGAUCUGGUGCAUGCACUCUGUUUAAAAACCUAUCCAACUGACCAACUCCAUCACAAGUAGUAUUUAUCAUGUUGAUAGAACAAAUUGAGAUUGCAGGUAGGAUGUGUUUUUCUUCAGGUAAUUAUGAGGUAUCCUGUAAGAUUCCACAGGAAAAUGCAAUUGUUCUUUAGCAUAAUUAGGAAAGUCUCUAGGCUUUUGCGAGAUUAGUGUGGUCAAACAUAUAUGACAGAGAACUAUCAAAACACACAUGUAAUGUUGCAUUGAAACACACUUAUCAAUUGUAUUGCAAAAGCUACUUGUAUUUCUGAAGUUAUUUACAAACCAUAAAUACUUGUGAAAUUAUUCUGAAUAUGCAGAUGCUAUUAACUGUCACAGGAGAGAAUAUUUGAUGCAAUUGUAAUUAGAUCCUGAAAUCUGACGGGUACAUAUAAGUGAGAUAAUGUGCAUGGAAUCUUCUUAUAGUGAACCAUGUCUUUCUAGGUCUACUGUUUGAUUCGUCAUACUGCUAUACGAUUCCAGAACCUUUUUCUAGGCGUGAGAACAUUAAGUAAUUAGCUGUGUUCCAAUUCAUGUAUCCAAUUGAAGAUAUUACUUUAUCUGUUUAUAUAUAGAUGAUCCCUGUGGUAUGGAUUUACAUGUAAUUAUUUUACUUUAUUAGUGUUUCUUGGUCAGACUUAUUGUAUCCUGUUACUGCAGUGAGCAACAUGCCACAAGUGCCUGAUAUAACUAUAUCAGA
This is a long non-coding RNA of Panicum virgatum (switchgrass), 2992 nucleotides long. RefSeq lists it as uncharacterized. Lineage: Eukaryota; Viridiplantae; Streptophyta; Magnoliopsida; Poales; Poaceae. The record is from RefSeq and is a predicted model, not a curated record. The transcript has 6 exons.